CCAUGAGUGAAUACAUAGCUCAUGAGGGAGGUACCCGGAGAACUGAAACAUCUAAGUAUCCGGAGGAAAAGAAAAUAAGAAUGAUUCCGUAAGUAGCGGCGAGCGAACGCGGAGGAGCCCAAACCAGAUCUUGAUCUGGGGUUGUAGGACCACGAGAUGGCAAGAGCAAGGCUAAGAGAACGGCAUUGAAAGGCCGACCGGAGAGGGUGCAAGUCCCGUAACUGAAAGCGAUGUGAAGCCUAGUGGUAUCCUGAGUACGGCGAGACACGAGAAAUCUUGUCGGAAGCAGGCGGGACCAUCCGUCAAGGCUAAAUAUACCCAAGUGACCGAUAGUGAACCAGUACCGUGAGGGAAAGGUGAAAAGAACCGCGGGAGCGGAGUGAAAUAGAACCUGAAACCGUAUGCUUACAAGAAGUCAGAGCCCGUUAAAGGGUGAUGGCGUGCCUUUUGUAGAAUGAACCGGCGAGUUACGUUAUCGUGCGAGGUUAAGUAGAAGAUACGGAGCCGAAGCGAAAGCGAGUCUUAAUAGGGCGACAGUACGAUGAUGUAGACCCGAAACCGUGUGAUCUAGCCAUGACCAGGUUGAAGUUCAGGUGAAACUGAAUGGAGGACCGAACCGACCCCCGUUGAAAAGUUGGCGGAUGAGUUGUGGCUAGGGGAGAAAUUCCAAUCGAACACGGAUAUAGCUGGUUCUCCCCGAAAUAGCUUUAGGGCUAGCGUCGAGGUAGAGUCGCAUGGAGGUAGAGCACUGAAUGUACGAUGGCCCCAUCCCGGGGUACUGAGUAUAAUCAAACUCCGAAUGCCAUGCAGACGUACUCGGCAGUCAGACUGUGGGUGAUAAGGUCCAUGGUCAAAAGGGAAACAGCCCAGACCGCCAGUUAAGGUCCCAAAAUGUAUGCUAAGUGGAAAAGGAUGUGGGGAUGCACAGACAACUAGGAGGUUGGCUCAGAAGCAGCCAUCCUUCAAAGAGUGCGUAACAGCUCACUAGUCGAGUGACCCUGCGCCGAAAAUGUACCGGGGCUAAGCAUACUACCGAAGCUGCGGAUU
This 1047-nucleotide ribosomal RNA is filed under the name [Clostridium] innocuum. RNAcentral's name for it is "bacterial LSU rRNA". It matches the Rfam family "Bacterial large subunit ribosomal RNA", at positions 152 to 1208 of the family's 2925-position model. Lineage: Bacteria; Bacillati; Bacillota; Clostridia; Eubacteriales; Clostridiaceae. The record is from RNAcentral.